ACACGUCAUACAAUGGUCGGUACAGAGGGUUGGCCAAGCCGCGAGGUGGAGCCAAUCCCUUAAAGCCGAUCGUAGUCCGGAUCGUAGUCUGCAACUCGACUACGUGAAGUCGGAAUCGCUAGUAAUCGCAGAUCAGCAUGCUGCGGUGAAUACGUUCCCGGGUCUU
RNAcentral lists this ribosomal RNA (166 nucleotides) under uncultured Thauera sp. Its description in RNAcentral is "partial 16S ribosomal RNA". It matches the Rfam family "Bacterial small subunit ribosomal RNA", at positions 1218 to 1382 of the family's 1533-position model. Lineage: Bacteria; Pseudomonadati; Pseudomonadota; Betaproteobacteria; Rhodocyclales; Zoogloeaceae. The record is from RNAcentral.